GUAAGUGUAAAGAAGCCUAGGAUGCUACAAUUGCCCAAGACCCAGGUACCAGGGCACACUUCCUUCAUUCUUGACCUGCUUCUGCUUGGUUCCAGCCUGCUAGUCCCAACUCCAAAGGAUAUCCUCCUUCACUUUCAACUCUGCUUUUGUCUUUUUAAUUUCUAAAUUGCUAUUGUUUGUUUCAGGGGGAUCCACAAUGCCAAAGACUUUGGCUGCUAUUCACUCUGAUGUUAUUUGGCUGAUCUGGCAGGACAGCCCACCCAGAACCAAAUUAAAUUGGGAGAUCAGCUCAGCUGGGAAGUUGAUAGGGAGGAAACUUACUCAGACUCAGCUUAAACUGGGAGGUCAGCUGGGUCAUUUCCUAGAGUGUCAAUAAUUCAGAGCACUAGAAUACCCUCGGAACCUAAACUAUCCCUGGAAAUAUGAAAAGAUGGAGAAAAAUGGUAUUUCUAGAACUCUUCUCAGGGAUGGUGAACACUGAUUAAGAAGAGAGAGCACAUAUCAUGCAGAGACCAUGGGCCCUGGACCAGAAACAUUGAGGAUAGAGAGAGGCAAAGCCAGCAUCCCGGAGCUGGCUCCUUUCCCCAGGGUUUUGGAGCGGUGCAGUCUUCCCUAGAAAUUAAUUGAUAAAGACUGAGUUCCUCACUUGAUAUUUUGAAAGAGAGCUGCUGCUAGCUUAUAUACCGUGAAUUGCCAAAUGUCACUGCCUCUGAGUGGACAGAUUAUAUAAAAGACACUUCCUCCUGGUAUGGCUAGCAGAGGAUGCACUGGAUUUCAGCUCCUAGUCCUCCCUUGACUCCACCAAGCUGGGUAUUUCUUUGCAGUAUACAAUCUGCACAACUGUACGUGGUUUGACAACAUGCAUAAGCAUAAGGCUAACAACUUGUGAAACAAACUCUGAAGCCAGGAGUGAAUAUAUUAAUGCAGAUGGCAGAGAAGGUGAGCAGCGUGGUCAGACAGAAGCAUCACAGAGACUGCAAGAAGAAUGCUUUAGACCAGCUCAUAGUAGAGACUUUACCUCUUGGCUGUACUGAUUAAGGGUUAUCACCAGUUUCUUAGGACUUGGAAACUUGGAAACACAUUGCUUGUCCUUUCCAGUUUGUUACAGAGUGUGUGUGUGUGGUCCUCAUUAUAAGGUGUAGCUUCAGUCAUUCUCAUUCAAUCCUGAAGCUGUGGAUUCCUGUGUGGCUGUUCUGUUGAAGAUUCUGGAGCCCAGAACAUUCAAAACCAGCUUUCCUUAGAGUGAAAGGAUGUUUGCACAAACAUUGAAGCAUGGAAGGGAGUUUGGGGGUAAGGGAGGGGUGGGGAAUUCCAGGAAGAGGAAAUCGGUUAGACAAGGGUGUGGAGGCACACCAAAUUGUGGAUUCCUUUAGGAAGUGGUUUUUUUUUUCUGUGAGGAAGAUUGUCCCAGAGCGAACAUCUGUGCUGAUCUUCCUCUAUUUUGUAUAUGGGAUGCUGCCACAGCAUGGCUUGAUGAGCGGUGUGCAGGUCCGAGCCUGGGAUCCAAACCCACAAACCCUGAGCUGCCGAAACAGAGUGUGCAAAGUUAACCACCACACCACUGGGCCGGCCCCAGAGAGAAUUUUUCCACUUCAUUAAAUCUGAGUGUCCCUUCAGAUGCCGAGGUGAUUAUAGCACAGUCUCUGUUCUGGAGAAGCUAGAACCAUUUCAUAUCUACCCUAUUUGAUCCUCAACAAAUUCCGUAAGUUAGGUAGGAAAGAUCUCAUCAACUGAAAAUCACUGAGGAGGAAAUUGGAGCCUAAAAAAAGUUCACAAGACUUACGGUUACACAACUAAUUCUAGGUAAGCUGGGGCUGAAACCCAGCCUCUUGGUGACCAACCUGGGCCUGUCCACUAGAUCAGAAGAGGGGGACAGCUUUUCCCUCCCUCCCCAGGCGAGAGCAGCAAACUUUUUCUAAAAUCCAUCAUUGUGAUUAUGAUUACGAUUGGUUAGUGAGAGGUGGAGGAAGAGUACAAUCAGGUCCACUC
Molecule: long non-coding RNA, 1989 nt
Organism: Equus caballus (horse)
Lineage: Eukaryota; Metazoa; Chordata; Mammalia; Perissodactyla; Equidae
Source: Ensembl